UCACAUUGGAGAGCAGACAACCCAACAUAAAAAGUGUCAAUUAAAAUAACAUUUCCAAUGGAAUAUAAUAAAAAUCAAAGAUAUACAGUGAAUGUGACAUGAUGUACAAAAAUUAAUGCAAAAUAUACAUACCAACUCGGAGUGAAGCCUAAUAAAUUCUAGAAAUCUCUGUACCAAGUUGGUUAAUUUUUUGAGGGCCUUCCUUAAAAAUUUUGCCCCUGUUUCAUCUUCAACGACCUCCGAUAUUUAAUCAUGUACUAUCUCCUUUGUAAAAAUUUGGAGACCUCCUCAAAAUAUUUUGCCGCAGUUUCCGUUUUCAAAUUUUGGAAAGCUUACAGGGAAGAUGACUGAUAUGGCACCUACAUAUCCCAUAGAAAAAGGAAUCAAGUCAAACGUAGUUCCAACAGAUUGUAACUCGAAUAGGGAAUGGACUGAGAUUACGAUUGUUCUAAAACUAGCUGACCAAGAAAGAUUUUGAAUGACUGGGAACCCAAGUGGACAACUUAGGUUGGAAGUCGUGACAACUUUUCGACGCACGACGAACCAAUAAAUUGUCCAUUAUUUUGAAAAAGGAUUGAGUAUAGAAAAGUCCGGCCUACGAAUCCCAAAACCUUUUUUUAAUAUGCUAUACCUUACAAUGCUGGAAAAAAAGCCAUGAAUGCAAUGAAAAUAUACAAUAAAAUGAAUGAAUAUAUAGUAGAAUAUGCAAAUAAUCAACAAAAUAUACAAGAUAUAAUUAACAACAUAAUAAAAGAAUGAUAUCCAAAUUUUAAAUAAUUAACCCACAAUGCUUACAACCUUUAUAUCCCAUCAUAGUCGUCAUUCUGUUGACAUCAUUUGAAUUAGAAGCAAUGUAAAGGUGAAUAAAUUAAAAAAAAGAAUUUACGCAAAAUAAUUUUUAAGAACGUGUAAAGGAGGGGUGGGGUAAAAUGAGUUUAAAGAGAUUAAAGGAAAAAAGGAGUCACCACCCAAUAUUUAGGAAAACUAGGAAACCAAUUAAUAAAUUAAUUUGAAAAAUAGUCUACAUUUUAGAUAAGGGGUUCAAAUUAUUCCAAAGGAAUAGGUAUCCUUAUGAAUGCACAAAUGUGGUUCUCGACUAAGUUCAUUUUUUUCAAAUUUAGGAGGAAAAUAAAAUUAAGUAUAAAUAUAAUACACAUGCAAUAUACACAGUAAAAAUAAAAUAAUAAUAUCGGUCUAAGGUUUGCCUAACAUCGAUAUACAAAAUAAUGAAUUGAAAAAUAUAAUUUUAUAUCCUUACGAAUAAUUUCAAGGAAGCAAGUCUUGGGUACCUAUAAACACACUUAGUGAAAUUUUUAGUAAUAAAUAAAUAUGAAUAAAAUUUAAUAUAUGAAAUAAUAACAUAAAAAUAAAAACUCGUCUUAUUAACAUUGGAGGCCUUGUAAAUCGGCGGUAAUUUCUUUAUCAGUCAAUUUCAACAUAAAAAAUAUGUAGACUUCAACUAAAAUUCCAUCUUAAUAAAAUGGGGAGGCCUCCAAAACCGAUGGAGAGAUUUUCUCAUUGGUCAUUUCAAUAAUUUUAACAAACAAGUUAUAUAAAAUUAAACUAAAAAUUUCCGCCAUUUAAUAUUGGGUAGGCCUCCAAAACAGACGGAGUGUUUGGUCAUUGGCCAAUUCUAAUAACUAAAAUAUAUAAACUUAAAUUAAAUUUCCGUAUUUUAAAAUGGAAAGGCCUCUAAAAUCUACGGAGAGUUUUUUCAUUUAACAAAUUUAACAAAUAUAUAAUAUGAACUCAAAAAUAAAUUUUUUACUAAAAAAAAAAGAAGUGCGCAGUAAGCAAUGACAAAUAAUAAGUGUGAAUUGUGAAUUGGUGAUCUUCUUUGUUUUAGAAACAAAGAAAGAAACAUAAAUAAAUAAUAGUAAUUAAACGAACAUGAAAAGUAACCAAACUAAACAAUUCAUUAGUACAAUUAAGAACAUUUAAUAUAAGUUCACUAGUAAUAUUGAAAUUUAAAUAAACGAAGAUGAUAAAAUAACAAAUAAAUACAACAACUAAUGAAUGGUUAAAAUAGAGAUUUUAAUAACAUAAACAAAUAAUGAAUAAACAUAGCAAAAACAUAACUCCCAUAGUGUUAUAGUGGUUGAAAAUUCAAAUUAAGUAAUAAUAAUUAAUUUUAAAAAAAGCAACAUUAACUAAUAAUAAGGUAUAGCCGCAACAAAUAAAAUUUAUCUAUUAAUUAUAAAAAUUAAUGAUAAUGCCAAAAUAAUAUUAACCAAGUAACAAUAGUGAAUAGUUAAAUAAACUAAUGAACUCAAAAUGAAGUGGAACAACGAUAUAACUGUGAAUCAACAUUACCAAAACGACAUUCCAAAUGACAUGAUUAAUGGCAAAAUAUUUUUUAACAAAAGAUAAAUAAAAAUAACAAUAUUAAAGAAGAACACAUAAUCAACUACAAAUAGAUAAUAUUGUUGGGUUUUAUUUGCCCUGAUUUCUUACCAUAAAUAGGUUUUCCUUUUAGGAAAAUGUUUUGAAUUGACUAUUCUUUUUUUGGUAGAAAAAGAUUUAGGACUCUAUAAAUAGAGGCAUGUUCCUUCUAACUUAAUUAGCAUUCACAAUGUAGUUUUAAGGGCUUUGAGAGUUUUGGUUAGAGGGAGAAUUUGUGAACCUCUCAUGUAUUCCGAGUGAAUUGAUGAGGUUGUUUCCCUCUGUAUUUUGUACUCUCAUGUUUAUAGUUGAUUGCUCAUCUCCUUUGUGGACGUAGGUCGAUUGACCGAACCACGUUAAAUCUUUGUGUCUUUUGGUAUAUUUCUCGUUGUCUUCUUACUCGUGGUCUUUCGAGGUUUGCUUUGCUAGCUUCCGCGUUUACACCUGCUUAUUUUCCGGUCCUAACACGUGGUAUCAGAGCCAGAUUCAAUGAUGUAGUCAGGUGUAGUGGUUCGAUAAUCGAUGAUUGAACCAAGUUAGAAAGAGGUGUUCAUCUUGACGGGUGUAGUUCUAGCCGCAACCUUUUUGACAGUAAUGAAGAUUUUGUUGGAGAAAUUGUUUCAGAGAGAUUCUCUGUGUUGAGACAUAAAUUUUGAAAAGGAGAUUAUGGAGAGGAGAAGCAAGUUGUUGAAGAUUAAGUAAAGAAGGUGAACAAAUUUAUUUUGUCAGAAAUUCAGGCCAAGGGGGAGAUUUGUUGGGUUUUAUUUUCCCUGAUUUCUUACCAUAAAUAGGUUUUACUUUUAGGAAAAGGUUUUGAAUUGACUAUUCUUUUUUUGGUAGGAAAAUAUUUAGGACUCUAUAAAUAGAGGCAUGUUCCUUCUAACUUAAUUAGCAUUCACAAUGUAGUUUUAAGGGCUUUGAGAGUUUUGGUUAGAGGGAGAAUUUGUGAACCUCUCAUGUAUUCUGAGUGAAUUGGUUGAGGUUGUUUCCCUCUGUAUUUUGUACUCUCAUGUUUAUAGUGGAUUGCUCAUCUCCUUUUUGAACGUAGGUCGAUUGACCGAACCACGUUAAAUCUUUGUGUCUUUUGGUAUAUUUCUCGUUGUCUUCUUACUCGUGAAAAUGCAAUUUGAACUUUGAAACAGUCCACAAUGUUUUUUGAACAAAUAUCAACUAUGAAACAGUCCACAACGUUGUUUUGACAAAUAUGGAGCAUAAAAAUAAAAUGAUGUCAACGUGAAAGGUAUGACUACCCAAAAUAAAAAAAUGUCGUUUUAAGGGGUAUGACUAUCAAAAAUGCAAUUUAAACUUUGAAACGUUCCACAAAAUUAUUUGGAAAAAUAUCAACAAUGAAACAAUACACAAAGUUGUUUGGACAAAAAUCGAAAAAGUGGAUUAUCAUUUUUAUCUUUUGAACAAUGAAACAUAUGAUAUCUUGGUUAGCACCAACAAAAGUAUUGUACAAAAGUUUCUUGCAAUUCUAAUUCUUUACUGUAAUUGAUUUCGAGGUAAUUCCUAUAGAUUCAUGUGGUACCUCAAAUAUUCUUAAGUAACCAAAAAAAUUGUUCAUCUUGCUUCAGGUAAAGGCAUUGAACUAGACCUCUCAUCAUAUUUCAAUUGCCCUCACAAGAAAGAAAUUUUCAAUUUUCACUUAUUUAAAGUGUUUUGAUUUGGGAGCAUCUAAAAAAACACACUUAUACGCAAAAAAAUGUGCAACGGAUGCAAUUGUGAUACCAUAUGCUUGACCUUAAUGUAAAUCUCCACUAAUGUGAGAAAAUUAGAAUUGAAAUCAUGUAGGGCUUGUUAAUUGCUUGUAAUGUAGGCUUAGGAACGGGUAAGAUACUCAUUUGGGAUAAAAGGGACUUAUUCCCUUCUUUAGCAUUGCAACUAAAUAGAUGCUUUAACGAUUUAUUACGCUUUCAGCGUUUGAUUCUCUUUGUUGUCCCUUCCUUAUGCAUUGUUGACUUCUUUGGAACUUUGUAUGUCUGAGUUUUUGCCUUUUGAAUUUUCUUCUUUUUGUUUGGAUUGUUUAUUUUGUUUUCUUCAAAUUCUGCUUGCUAAAACAUGUGGGGAAUUUUGAAUACUUCUUUUUUUUUCUUUCUUUUAAAGUCAUUUUUGUUUUCUUGACAUUUCGGUAUUUUAAUAACUUUUGUCUUUGACAAAAAUGAACUUUGAAUCAUCGCUUAUAACUUGCAUGUCUUCUGUGCGCCCAAGAAAAUAAGGCAAAAAGAGGGAUAGUUCAUAAAAGCACUUAGAAAGGGUAUAGUCUAAGAUGUGGUUGUCCAAAGUAAAGACUUAAGCCUCAAAAUGGGACACACUAAGGGUAUAUAUUAUUUGGCAGGCUUUGAAAGGCUCAAAUGGGUCAAACAAGGCGUACAUCAUUUUUCAAAUCAAUCAAAUAAUGAAUAAACAGAGCAAAACAUAACCCCAUAGUGUUAUAGUGGUUGGAAAAUUCAAAUAAAUUAAUAAUAAUUAAUUUUAUAAAAAGCAACAUUAACUAAUAACAAGGUAUAGGCAACAAUAAAUAAAAUUUAUCUCUUAAUUAUAACAAAUACCGAUAAUACCAAAAUAAUAUCAACCAAGGAACAAUGGUGAAUAGUCCCACUAACUAAUGAAGUCAAAAUAGAGUGGAACAACGAUAUAACUGUAAAUAAACAUAUCCAAAACGACAUUCCAAAUGACAUGAUUAAUGGCAAUAUAAUUAUUAUCAAAACAUAAAUACAAAUAACAAUAAUAAAGAAGACAACAUAAUCAACUACAAAUAGAUAAUAUAGGGUUCAUUAGACCAAGUUUCUACACAAAAUCAAUUGCAAUUAUAGGAAGACAACACCACGAAAAUCCUUAAAUAAGAUUAGAAACUUCUGUAUCGUAAUUAAAAACUACGCUAAAAUGAAUUAAAUCAAAGCAUUAUGCCAACAUAUUUUGAUAUGAAACAAUAUUAACACAUAAAAAUAAAUGGACCCAAAUAUGUAAACAAAAAAAACGAAGGAAAGAGAAUAAGAAGUGCAGAGGAACACCUUGGUAAAAGAGGAUGACGAAGAGCUUGCUCAAUCUCGAUUUCGCUGGAGUUAUUUAUUUUAUGUCGAUAAGCCUAAAAUAUUGCUGCCAUUUUUUGGAGCAAAUAUCCUGAUGGUUCAUUCAAAUGCAAACAAAAUUGGAUAGAAAAUGUAAAGGGGAAAGAGGAUGGGGUUUGUGGUGCAUCUGGAAAGGGAAAAAAAUGGAAGAAUGAAGGUUGGUUUGGUGGUUUAUGGUCGGGUUUUUGGACUGUGUUGUUGAUCGAUUUUGGGUGGUUGUUGGUUAAGGUUUGGGUAUGGUUUAGGAGUGGGUUGUGGUGGUUAUUUCAGUUGUGUUUUGUAUGCUAAAAUGGGGAAGAAGAUGACUGGUUUCAGUUAGAGCUUGGUCGGAAAAGUGGGAAAAAGAAGACCUGGCAGCGUCUGGAGAGAGCUGCUGGCAGCAGCUAUGAACAAGAUGACAGUUUGGUCUACUGACUGUUUUCGUGUGGUUCUUUGCUGGAAAAAUGUUAAAACAAAACGGGGUUUUGGGGCUUGCCAAAAAAGUCUCCGGUGAGGGUGGUGGCCCAAAAAUAAAAGCAUCAAAGAAUUUCUUAAAACAUUAAUCUAAUAAUUAUCCCCUAAAUCUUUA
RNAcentral lists this long non-coding RNA (6021 nucleotides) under Solanum lycopersicum (tomato). RNAcentral describes it as "long non-coding RNA (SLYC_LNC000751)". The record is from RNAcentral. Lineage: Eukaryota; Viridiplantae; Streptophyta; Magnoliopsida; Solanales; Solanaceae.